RNAcentral lists this long non-coding RNA (3763 nucleotides) under Capsicum annuum. Its description in RNAcentral is "long non-coding RNA (CANN_LNC001990)". Lineage: Eukaryota; Viridiplantae; Streptophyta; Magnoliopsida; Solanales; Solanaceae. The record is from RNAcentral.
CAAUCAAGAAUUAUAUAUGUACAUAUUAAUAAUCGAUUUUAAAUUUAUUUUCAACCUCUCCCACGCCUUCAAGAAAGUGAGCACACACUCUCUCCCAUAUCAUUAUCCAAAGGUGUAUUUAUUCUAAUUCAAAAUUAUGCACUGCAAAUCCAGCAGUAGUUGAAGAAGUACUUAUUUGCCUUUUCCCUUAAUUGAACUUAAAUCAGCUGUUCAAAUUUAAUUAAAAAAAAUAUGUUACGUGGCUUUAAAAAUUAUCUCACUCAUUAUUUUACCCCUUUAGACUGGAGCUAUUUAUUAGACAACAAGAAUAUAUAUAUUUCAUUAUACCAUAAAGUUAAGAGGUAUAUUUACCCCUUUUUCAUUAUAAUAUACACAUCGUUGCUUGCACAAAGUCAAAUGACUUCAUAUAUCUCUAACUUUAUCUUUCAUUUUAUCCUUUACUACUGUACGUACCCGUGUGAUGCAAGGAUAAUAUUAAAAAAUAGUUCUAAUCAUUUUAUAUUGAAAUAUCUCAUUUGAGUAUGUUAAAUCAUAUUAUCCUUAAAAAAACUUAUUAACUAUCAUACUAUUUCUUAAUGAAAUGCAAAAAAGAAAAAAGAAAAAAAGAAAAAUCUACCCCUACUUCGCUUCCAUCUCCACAUCCCUCCUCCUCCCUUAAUUUUUAAAAGAUAAAAAGAAAAAAUCCCCCCCACCCCCACCAACACCACACACACACAUCCACCCGUCCCCACCCAAUCCCACACAUCUAAUCAAAUCUAUAACAAAAAUAAUUAUUAUGUAAUUGUAAAAAUAAUUUUAUGUUCCAUCUCCCUUCUUUCACCUUCCACCCUACCCCCACUCCACCUCCACAUACACAUGCACAUAUACACAUACACAUACACUCCAGUCAGUCCACCCACACAAUCUUUCACCUCUAAUCAAAUCUAUACGAAAAAAUAAUUGUGCAUUGUAAUAAAUAUGUUUUAUAUUUUUUUAUUAUAUUAUUCACAAUAUAAAGAUAUUAGAUUGUUAAUAUUUCCUCCCCCUCCCUAAUUACAUCAUUUUUUAAAAAUAAACCUCCUCCACCUCACCCACCCAUCCUCAUAUAAUCCCCCAUCUCUAACCGAAUCUAUAUGAAAAAAUAACUAUGUAAUUAGGCACCCAUGAUAAAUAAAUUAGUUGGUAAUCCAACAGACUCCGACGCCGGCGACGUCGUAGAUGCGCCGGCACAGGUAAGGGCCCACUCUCACUCCCCCGUUCUCUCUCUCCAGUCCUCUCUCUCCCCAGUUCUCUCUCUUCUCUGCUCUUUUUUUCUCUCGUCAUUGCUAUGGUCGGUGGAAUUAGGAUUUUCGCUGGCUCGACUCCGGCGAUAGCAUAGUGUGCAACAUCGGUCAAACUCGGUUAAAACAGUUGGUGUGACGUCAAACGGCAACCAGUUGCUGGCAGAACUAAGAAGAUGCUCUGGCGAUGUACCAGCAGCUUCUUUUAAACGACUCUAUUUCGGUAACCAAUUUCGACAUCAAAAUUGCCGUAAUCAGCACACGCAAGAGUCAAGGAUAAUAUUAAAAAAUAAUUCUAAUCAUUUUAUAUUGAAAUAUCUCAUUUGAGUAUGUUAAAUCAUAUUAUCCUUAAAAAAACUUAUUAACUAUCAUACUAUUUCUUAAUGAAAUGCAAAAAAGAAAAAAGAAAAAAAGAAAAAUCUACCCCUACUUCGCUUCCAUCUCCACAUCCCUCCUCCUCCCUUAAUUUUUAAAAGAUAAAAAGAAAAAAUCCCCCCCACCCCCACCAACACCACACACACACAUCCACCCGUCCCCACCCAAUCCCACACAUCUAAUCAAAUCUAUAACAAAAAUAAUUAUUAUGUAAUUGUAAAAAUAAUUUUAUGUUCCAUCUCCCUUCUUUCACCUUCCACCCUACCCCCACUCCACCUCCACAUACACAUGCACAUAUACACAUACACAUACACUCCAGUCAGUCCACCCACACAAUCUUUCACCUCUAAUCAAAUCUAUACGAAAAAAUAAUUGUGCAUUGUAAUAAAUAUGUUUUAUAUUUUUUUAUUAUAUUAUUCACAAUAUAAAGAUAUUAGAUUGUUAAUAUUUCCUCCCCCUCCCUAAUUACAUCAUUUUUUAAAAAUAAACCUCCUCCACCUCACCCACCCAUCCUCAUAUAAUCCCCCAUCUCUAACCGAAUCUAUAUGAAAAAAUAACUAUGUAAUUAGGCACCCAUGAUAAAUAAAUUAGUUGGUAAUCCAACAGACUCCGACGCCGGCGACGUCGUAGAUGCGCCGGCACAGGUAAGGGCCCACUCUCACUCCCCCGUUCUCUCUCUCCAGUCCUCUCUCUCCCCAGUUCUCUCUCUUCUCUGCUCUUUUUUUCUCUCGUCAUUGCUAUGGUCGGUGGAAUUAGGAUUUUCGCUGGCUCGACUCCGGCGAUAGCAUAGUGUGCAACAUCGGUCAAACUCGGUUAAAACAGUUGGUGUGACGUCAAACGGCAACCAGUUGCUGGCAGAACUAAGAAGAUGCUCUGGCGAUGUACCAGCAGCUUCUUUUAAACGACUCUAUUUCGGUAACCAAUUUCGACAUCAAAAUUGCCGUAAUCAGCACACGCAAGAGUACCCCGGUGACAUCCGAACUUUAUUAUUUAGUUACUCUUUACAGAUUAGUUUCUUUAUAUUUGUUUUCGAUUCCUUGUGAUUAUAGUUGGGUUUGGCUUACUUAUUGGCGGAUAUUGUUGUGUUGUUCUAGCUGCUAGGCCGGAUAGUGUAUCCUUGAUAGUAUAUUUUUUAUGUGUGCCUGCUGUUUUCCUUUGUGGCUUUGUUUGUUUGUUUGCCAGUUUGUUGGAAAGUUAAGGGCUUUGUUUUGAUUUUUGAGGAGUGACUGUGGGGGUUAUUGACACCUAAUUUUUUUCCUCUACGACUAAGUUUGAAUCCGAGUUUCUUCGAUUUUAAAUAAAAUUACAAUAUUUAUUUUAUUUAGAUAAAAGCUUUUCAAAGUAUUUGUUUGGGUGAUUUUGUCAUUUUAGGUAACGAUUAUAUAGUUCUUAUUCACUUAUACAGAAUUAUAUGAUUUUAAUAUUUAAAUAACUAUUUGAUGAGAAAUUGAAUUUCAAUCAAUGGUUAUCACAAAAAUUGAUUCAAAUGGUUAAAAUUUUAAUAUAAUUCACCCUCAAAAUGAUUUAAAUUGAACAUAAAAUAAGACCAAAAUAAAAUAAAAUAUUUAUUUGAUCUUAUUAAAUCAAGAAACUCGGGAUUAAACUAAUUGUUAAUUUAUUUUGAAUUUUAAUUUAAUUUAGUCGAUCUAUUAAAAUUGACCAUAAUUGAAAUUAAAUUGAUCACAAUUGAAAUAUAAUUGGUCAAUUGAUGUUCAAAUGGUUAAUAUUUAAAUAAAAUUGACUAAAAUUCUAGUCAAACUUGAUCAUUUAAUAGAGGAAAAGUUACAGAAACUGGCAUCCUUAAGACUAUAAUUACAAUAAAUAGUAAUGCUUUUUUAAAAUUACAACUUAUAACAAAAGUAACAAUAUUUUACUCACUUCAUAGUAAUAGAAGAAUAUGUAUUUUUCAGUUGUGCAUAUUUAUUAUGAGUAAUACAUAUAUAUUUGUAUAUAUAUUUAUAUAACAAUAUUUUACUUAAAUACAAAUAUAAUUUGCUAUUUUUCGUAAUUAUGAAACUGUUGCUUUAAAAGUUAUAAUUAAGACUACGAAGUUACUAUUUCUGAAAUUUUCCCUUUAAUAAAUGGCCAAAUUUUGACCCUUUCCAUCUUAAUCUUGGCCACAAAAGCAG